UUUAGACAGAACAGAUCCUGAUUAAAGAAAGGAAGAUGCAGAGUGCCCUGCACUGAAUUUGUCACCAGCCAGCAGAGGGAGUGUCUGAAGCUUCAGUGCAGGAAAAUGCCACAGUUUUGUGUCAUGGGAGUGGCCCCCAUCCCUGGAUGUAUGUGACCUGAGUUUGAGAAGCAUGGACAUACAUUUGCUCACAUACUAAUAGCAGAAAAUAAGUACAGAAAAGAAGAUUAAUAUCAGAUUGUGGUUGGCCUUGAGUGUAUGUAGAAAAGGAAGGACAAUAUCUCAGGAAG
This 290-nucleotide long non-coding RNA is filed under the name Homo sapiens (human). RNAcentral describes it as "HSALNT0150373". Lineage: Eukaryota; Metazoa; Chordata; Mammalia; Primates; Hominidae. The record is from RNAcentral.